GUCACUGUAUCUUGUUAUACCUUUGUCUACCAGACUGAAGAGCCAAAGAUCAGAUUUAUUUCUCCAUGUAGGUACUUACAAACUGUAAUCAACUCACUCCAUAACCUCUUGAGUUUGACAUUCCCAGCCACUCUUGCCCUGUUGAUUUAAGGAUGGACUAUAGAAAAUAAAGGGAAAUUUGAAGAGAAGACAAGGUAGGUGCUUCUGAUGACUUAUUUUCAAAUUCUAUUCUACCUGAAUGUCAUUAAAUUCUCCUGGA
Molecule: long non-coding RNA, 259 nt
Organism: Gavialis gangeticus (Gharial)
Lineage: Eukaryota; Metazoa; Chordata; Crocodylia; Gavialidae
Exons: 3
Source: RefSeq, a predicted model, not a curated record